ACUUUCCGUCUCCUCUUCCCCACUCCUCCCCUUUCUCUCUCCCCGUUCUUCUUGCCCCACUCCCAAACGUCCAUUGUACCAAUAAGGAGACCAGACAGGCAUGGUAAGAAGUUAGUUCUUCUGGUUUCCAUCUCAAGCAACUUUAAGAUGUGUGGCAAAAUUUCAGGUCAUCUCUGAUGGCGCCUCCGAUCUGCUGCACUUGAGUGGCUUGUGUCAAAAAAUGGAUAUUUUAGAAUUCCAGAAUCUGUUCUAAGUCAAUCUGCUCGAGUACAGGAAGAACCAAAGAUAGUAGGUAGAAGAUUGAUUUUUUUUGCGAGGAGGGGAUUCAAUUUUUGUGAGGAUUGUGAGAAUACCCUCUUCCUAAUCAAGCGCCUAGGCGAGCGGCAGCCAGGCACGAAAAUGCCUAGGCGGGCCCCUGCGUUUUUUGGACACUCUGACCGACCUUAAAAAGGAAAAAGGACCUUAAAAAGGAAAAAGGAUCUCAAAAAUAUUGGGGAUCCCAAAAUUUCAGAUCGAAGUAGUCGUCCUAAGUAACUCUUUCGCAUGGAGAAGUGGGCUUCCCUGUGAAAAGCAGCCCUCAAAGAAAUCACAGAGAUUUCAUUCAGCUUGAAUGGUUGAACUUGUACCAUAUCACGAAUUUCCUGCUGAAAAUAUCAUAUGAAUGGACUACUGAAUGACUUGGAACUUCACGUAUUUAGCCAUGGGUACACAUAAAAGGUAUUGUGAGAAAUGAUGCAACCACUGCAGGAGGUGUGCGCUGGGAAUGGACCAUCACAUUAUCUGGAUAAAUAACUGUGUGCGUCAUGGAAACUAUACGCCUUUCGUUGUCUUUUGUCUUGUAUUCUGGCAUAGCAAGUACAUAUUCCCUGUUACAUAAUCGAAUGGCCUUCAUUUGCAAUUAGGCUGACUUAAAAGUUGUAAAAAUAAUUUGCUUUUAUGUAAGUAACUUUUCAUGCAUUCGGAAGAAAAAAUUCAUCCUUGUUCAA
Molecule: RNA transcript, 986 nt
Organism: Amborella trichopoda
Lineage: Eukaryota; Viridiplantae; Streptophyta; Magnoliopsida; Amborellales; Amborellaceae
Gene name: E3 ubiquitin-protein ligase RDUF2-like
Source: RefSeq, a predicted model, not a curated record